Molecule: ribosomal RNA, 193 nt
Filed under: uncultured bacterium
Lineage: Bacteria
Description: partial 16S ribosomal RNA
Rfam family: Bacterial small subunit ribosomal RNA
Source: RNAcentral
UACGGGAGGCAGCAGUGGGGAAUAUUGGACAAUGGGCGCAAGCCUGAUCCAGCCAUGCCGCGUGUGUGAAGAGGGCCUUUUGGUUGUAAAGCACUUUAAGCGAGGAGGAGGCUCCUUUAGUUAAUACCUAAAGUGAGUGGACGUUACUCGCAGAAUAAGCACCGGCUAACUCUGUGCCAGCAGCCGCGGUAAU